GGGGAUAUAGCUCAGUGAUAGAGCACUUGCCUAGUAUGUGUGAGGCUCUGGGUUUGAUCCCUAGAACCACCA
RNAcentral lists this transfer RNA (72 nucleotides) under Ictidomys tridecemlineatus (thirteen-lined ground squirrel). RNAcentral describes it as "Spermophilus tridecemlineatus (thirteen-lined ground squirrel) tRNA". It matches the Rfam family "tRNA". From Rfam's summary of the family: Transfer RNA (tRNA) molecules are approximately 80 nucleotides in length. Their secondary structure includes four short double-helical elements and three loops (D, anti-codon, and T loops). The record is from Rfam by way of RNAcentral. Lineage: Eukaryota; Metazoa; Chordata; Mammalia; Rodentia; Sciuridae.